UAGCACAGAGAGCUUGCUCUCGGGUGACGAGUGGCGGACGGGUGAGUAAUGUCUGGGAAACUGCCCGAUGGAGGGGGAUAACUACUGGAAACGGUAGCUAAUACCGCAUAACGUCUUCGGACCAAAGUGGGGGACCUUCGGGCCUCACACCAUCGGAUGUGCCCAGAUGGGAUUAGCUAGUAGGUGGGGUAAUGGCUCACCUAGGCGACGAUCCCUAGCUGGUCUGAGAGGAUGACCAGCCACACUGGAACUGAGACACGGUCCAGACUCC
This 271-nucleotide ribosomal RNA is filed under the name uncultured Erwinia sp. RNAcentral's name for it is "partial 16S ribosomal RNA". It matches the Rfam family "Bacterial small subunit ribosomal RNA", at positions 68 to 339 of the family's 1533-position model. Lineage: Bacteria; Pseudomonadati; Pseudomonadota; Gammaproteobacteria; Enterobacterales; Erwiniaceae. The record is from RNAcentral.